This 1148-nucleotide long non-coding RNA is filed under the name Mus spicilegus (steppe mouse). RNAcentral's name for it is "lncRNA (ENSMSIG00000020258.1)". Lineage: Eukaryota; Metazoa; Chordata; Mammalia; Rodentia; Muridae. The record is from RNAcentral.
CUUUUUUUGUGAUUUUAAUAUCACUUCCAAUGUCUCCCCACCCACCCCCAGCCAUUCAGCCUUUCUAAUGUGACAGUCACUUUCUAGUGUGACAUCACUAUGAGUCACUUGCCUUUCUGGGGAUCUUGUCACCAUGGCCAUUCAUACCACCAGCCCACUUAUCCUCUCUGGGUCCUCAUCUUACGGUGACACCAAUAUCCAACAACUGUUAUGAGAAGUCCUCUGUUCACAGGCUUUACACAACCAGGCACAGAGCAUUCCUCUUUCUUCUGUGAAGUUCACAUUCAGCAAGGCACGACCUUAAAUGAAAAAUCAACUAUGUGGGGCAGAACAAACUCCGAGAGCAUGGUGAAGACUUAGCAAGCAGCACUGACUGGAGAACGACUUAGCAGGCACCGGCAUAGCAAAGGGUAACUUCUUGGGCAUGAGAAACACAGCUAUCGUCUGAUCACGUGACCCCCGAGACGCUGGGAAGACGGACUGGAUGCGUGUAGACCACUGGUUUCCCCUCAUGCUCUCCCCAUGCUUCAGUCCUUGGACAGCUCUGAACCCUUUCCUCAGGGAGGAGCAUUUGCCCUCCGGUGACUCCGGUACCUUGGCCACUCCGUGAAUGGGUUUCUCUCACAGACCUUGCUCCUGUGGCUGACAAAAUGGGUCUGGUUCCACAAGGCUAACUCCACGACAAGUAAACACUAUGGAUUGUUUCCACUUCCCUCUCUCUGGUUUGUUUGUUUCUGCUUUUAAACUUAAAUUUGAGACAGGGUAGCUGUGUGAUGCCUCCAUUUCAGAAACAAUAUCUGGAUUGAAGGCCACCAGGGACACAAAGACGGGAGAGAAGGUGAAAUCUCAGAGGUGUGGUGGUCAGAGUCCUGUAAAUCUUGAGGUUAAUCUUCCGAACCAGAGUUCAGCUCACAGCACCCCCAUCAAGUGGCUCAUGAUUGCCUGAAACCUGGAUCUCGGGGAUCCAGCUCCCUCUUCUGGCCCCCAUAAGCACCUGCACACGAAUAGGUGUGUUUCUCUCUCUCUCUCUCUCUCUCUCUCUCUCUCUCUCUCUCUCUCUCUCUCNNNNNNNNNNACACACACACACACACACACACACACACACACACCACUCCCAAAUAAAGUUUUUUUUUAAUAGAAAGAAUGCA